GCUGGGUGGGUUGGCAGCCACCUGUCGUCCCGGUGCCUUGGGAAGCUAAGGCUGGUGGAUCCCUUGAGUCUGGGAGCUCUGGCCUGCAGGAUGCUACGGUGAAUGGGUGUCUUUCAGUGACUGGCAUCAGCAUGGUGUGUCUGGGGAAGGCUGAAGACAGCAGGUUGUGUAAAGAGGGGUGAACCGGCCCAGGCUGGCAACAGAGCAGGCCAAAGCCCCUGUGCUGGUCAGCUGUGGGAUUAUACCGGUGAGUAGCCAGUGUGGGGCAGCCUGGAUAAAAGAGGGAGAGCCAGCCUCCC
Molecule: signal recognition particle RNA, 299 nt
Filed under: Pelusios castaneus (West African mud turtle)
Lineage: Eukaryota; Metazoa; Chordata; Testudines; Pelomedusidae
Description: Metazoan signal recognition particle RNA (ENSPCEG00000014986.1)
Rfam family: Metazoan signal recognition particle RNA
About the family: The signal recognition particle (SRP) is a universally conserved ribonucleoprotein. It is involved in the co-translational targeting of proteins to membranes.
Source: Rfam by way of RNAcentral